This is a microRNA precursor of Drosophila willistoni, 73 nucleotides long. It matches the Rfam family "mir-278 microRNA precursor family". Lineage: Eukaryota; Metazoa; Arthropoda; Insecta; Diptera; Drosophilidae. The record is from Rfam.
GGUGCGACCGGAUGACGGUUCACAACGACCGUGUCAAUUUUACUGGUCGGUGGGACUUUCGUCCGUUUGUAAC